This 207-nucleotide ribosomal RNA is filed under the name uncultured bacterium. RNAcentral describes it as "partial 16S ribosomal RNA". It matches the Rfam family "Bacterial small subunit ribosomal RNA", at positions 568 to 774 of the family's 1533-position model. The record is from RNAcentral.
UGCGUAGGCGGCUUUGCAAGUCAGAUGUGAAAUCUAUGGGCUCAACCCAUAAACUGCAUUUGAAACUGUAGAGCUUGAGUGAAGUAGAGGCAGGCGGAAUUCCCCGUGUAGCGGUGAAAUGCGUAGAGAUGGGGAGGAACACCAGUGGCGAAGGCGGCAACCUGGCUCAUUACUGACGCUGAGGCGCGAAAGCGUGGGGAGCAAACA